Ornithodoros turicata is the source of this 335-nucleotide long non-coding RNA. RefSeq lists it as uncharacterized. NCBI's taxonomy places the organism in Eukaryota, Metazoa, Arthropoda, Arachnida, Ixodida, Argasidae. The record is from RefSeq and is a predicted model, not a curated record. The transcript has 3 exons.
AGGAUGAGAUUUGUGGUUUGUGGUAGCGGUGGCGGUGAAGCAACUUUGCCAAAUAUUCCAUUCAAGUUCCUCGCUGGAUGUCCCGCUCGUCCGUCGAUGUUCAACAAGAUGCAACAAGUGCCAGUCCACUUUUUCUCAGCUGCACCCUCUCAGUUCAGGCAGCAGCAGUACCAGGUGUAUGUACAUAACUUCCAAGACACACGAGUGCAAUUCUGAAGCUGAUUUUCAGGCAUGGAGAGAAGAAAUGCAGGAUGCAGCCAAGAGUCAUUUUACUAAAGGCACAGGGGUAAAAAGAUUGAAAGAUGGAGGUUUAAAGUGUUGUUAUAUUUGUAACU